This 456-nucleotide ribosomal RNA is filed under the name uncultured bacterium. Its description in RNAcentral is "bacterial SSU rRNA". It matches the Rfam family "Bacterial small subunit ribosomal RNA", at positions 791 to 1243 of the family's 1533-position model. The record is from RNAcentral.
UAGUCCACGCCGUAAACGAUGAGAACUAGAUGUCGGGAGGAUCUGCCUCUCGGUGUCGCAGUUAACGCAUUAAGUUCUCCGCCUGGGGAGUACGCCGGCAACGGUAAAACUCAAAGGAAUUGACGGGGACCCGCACAAGCGGUGGAGCAUGUGGUUUAAUUCGAUGCAACGCGAAGAACCUUACCUGCCCUUGACAUCCUGUGAACUUUCUAGAGAUAGAUUGGUGCCUUCGGGAGCACAGUGACAGGUGCUGCAUGGCUGUCGUCAGCUCGUGUCGUGAGAUGUUGGGUUAAGUCCCGCAACGAGCGCAACCCUUGUCCUUAGUUGCCAGCAUUUCGGAUGGGAACUCUAAGGAGACCGCCGGUGACAAACCGGGAGGAAGGGUGGGGACGACGUCAAGUCAUCAUGGCCCUUAUGGGGCAGGGGCUACACACGUGCUACAAUGGCCGGUACAGA